GUGGUAUGCCUGAUCUAUUGUUAUGGAGCUUCCAUGAUGAUUACAGAGGCGAAGCCAAGCUUGUUGAAGUUAAAGGCCCCACGGAUCGUCUCUCCGAAUAGCAGAGAGCUUGGUUGAUGGUUCUUAUGGAUUGCGGUUUUAAUAUUGAGGUUUGCAAAGUGAGUCCUGCACCUAUAUCUGGUUGAAAGUCGUGUUAAUUGGGUGUAAGAUUAUUUGGGAGAUACUUCAUCGGAUAACGGAUACUAACCAAGAGUUAAAGGGGUCACCAUGCAAAUUCUGUUCCUUCUUUCCGGGAGAAGCUUUAAGAUGAGCUGUGGAACAAUUUUUAGAAAGUGAACGCAAAUACGUGGCUUUAAGUUUUCAUCACACUUCAAUCUCUUAGGAGGCAAUUCUCCUCAGGCUUUUGAUUGUUUCACUGGAAGCUGUUCCUUGAGAGAAAAUACAUCUUUCCGCACCAAACGAAGGUCAGCAGUCGUAAUAAUGGCAAUGGAAAUUCAAGUCUAGACUUGUUGAUCAUCAUAUUUGUUAUUUUAAACAGCAUAUUUAUCUAUAUGUAUGUCUCUUUUCAAUUUUUCUAUGUUUUUGAAACAUUGAAGAGUAACAGCUCACAUAUGAAGAAGGUUAACUAACUAAGAAUUGAGAAGUGCAGUUGGGUUUGCCAAAUAUCAUUAUUCAUCAUCAUGUGAGAUCGGCUAAGCCUUUGACUUGCGGUGGUUGGGGAGUUGAGUUUGCUUUUGCCAGUUUUAAGUACGCUAUGGGCUGUAAUUGUUUUUGGGGCUAUGCCACUUAGGUAUGCAGAUACCCGUGGUGUUUGUAAUAUUUUGUUUUCUCAACAAGAUAAAUACUUAUCGAUCAAAAAUCACGUACUAUUUGUAUUGUUUUCUCUUAUAUGUAGUUGAGUUUAUUAUAUAAUUUGUGCAGAAGACUCGUUCUGUAUAAACUCAACCCCCAUUGCUUACCACCACCCCACCUGCUCGCCACAACUCCCUACCUCCACUUUCCCUUCAGCUGCCACUGAACCUCACCCUCAUGUGUAGCCCUUACCACCAUCCACAAGCUUGCAACAGAGAGGAGAGAGAGAGAUCAUAUUGAGGUGGUAGUGCAACCCUGAAGGC
Molecule: long non-coding RNA, 1115 nt
Filed under: Actinidia chinensis (golden kiwifruit)
Lineage: Eukaryota; Viridiplantae; Streptophyta; Magnoliopsida; Ericales; Actinidiaceae
Description: long non-coding RNA (ACHI_LNC008501)
Source: RNAcentral